This 820-nucleotide ribosomal RNA is filed under the name uncultured bacterium. Its description in RNAcentral is "SSU rRNA". It matches the Rfam family "Bacterial small subunit ribosomal RNA", at positions 56 to 872 of the family's 1533-position model. The record is from RNAcentral.
UGCAGUCGAACGGCAGCACGGUUUUCGGACUGGUGGCGAGUGGCGAACGGGUGAGUAAUGUAUCGGAACGUACCAUUGAGUGGGGGAUAACUAUCCGAAAGGAUAGCUAAUACCGCAUAUUCUCUCCGGAGGAAAGCAGGGGACCGCAAGGCCUUGCGCUCAUUGAGCGGCCGAUAUCAGAUUAGCUAGUUGGUGGGGUAAAAGCUCACCAAGGCGACGAUCUGUAGCGGGUCUGAGAGGAUGAUCCGCCACACUGGAACUGAGACACGGUCCAGACUCCUACGGGAGGCAGCAGUGGGGAAUUUUGGACAAUGGGGGCAACCCUGAUCCAGCCAUGCCGCGUGAGUGAAGAAGGCCUUCGGGUUGUAAAGCUCUUUCGGCCGGGAAAAAAUCGCAUGGACUAAUACUCUGUGUGGAUGAUGGUACCGGAAUAAGAAGCACCGGCUAACUACGUGCCAGCAGCCGCGGUAAUACGUAGGGUGCGAGCGUUAAUCGGAAUUACUGGGCGUAAAGCGUGCGCAGGCGGUUUGUUAAGAUAGGCGUGAAAUCCCCGGGCUCAACCUGGGAACUGCGCUUAUGACUGGCAAGCUAGAGUACGGCAGAGGGGGGUGGAAUUCCACGUGUAGCAGUGAAAUGCGUAGAGAUGUGGAGGAACACCAAUGGCGAAGGCAGCCCCCUGGGUCGAUACUGACGCUCAUGCACGAAAGCGUGGGGAGCAAACAGGAUUAGAUACCCUGGUAGUCCACGCCCUAAACGAUGUCAACUAGGUGUUGGGUGGGUAAAACCAUUUAGUACCGGAGCUAACGCGUGAAGUGACCGC